Molecule: non-coding RNA, 107 nt
Organism: Acanthosepion pharaonis
Lineage: Eukaryota; Metazoa; Mollusca; Cephalopoda; Sepiida; Sepiidae
Source: the annotation of a GenBank genome assembly
UAUGACGAUAUCACGUCGAAACAUUGGUUCCCGUACUAUCACCGAAGUUAAGCAAUGUCGAUCCUGGUCAAUACCUAGAUGGGUGACCGCUUAGGAAUAUCAAGUGG